GACGGGUGAGUAAUGCCUAGGAAUCUGCCUGGUAGUGGGGGACAACGUUUCGAAAGGAACGCUAAUACCGCAUACGUCCUACGGGAGAAAGCAGGGGACCUUCGGGCCUUGCGCUAUCAGAUGAGCCUAGGUCGGAUUAGCUAGUUGGUGAGGUAAUGGCUCACCAAGGCGACGAUCCGUAACUGGUCUGAGAGGAUGAUCAGUCACACUGGAACUGAGACACGGUCCAGACUCCUACGGGAGGCAGCAGUGGGGAAUAUUGGACAAUGGGCGAAAGCCUGAUCCAGCCAUGCCGCGUGUGUGAAGAAGGUCUUCGGAUUGUAAAGCACUUUAAGUUGGGAGGAAGGGCAGUAAGUUAAUACCUUGCUGUUUUGACGUUACCGACAGAAUAAGCACCGGCUAACUCUGUGCCAGCAGCCGCGGUAAUACAGAGGGUGCAAGCGUUAAUCGGAAUUACUGGGCGUAAAGCGCGCGUAGGUGGUUCGUUAAGUUGGAUGUGAAAGCCCCGGGCUCAACCUGGGAACUGCAUCCAAAACUGGCGAGCUAGAGUACGGUAGAGG
Molecule: ribosomal RNA, 560 nt
Filed under: Pseudomonas syringae
Lineage: Bacteria; Pseudomonadati; Pseudomonadota; Gammaproteobacteria; Pseudomonadales; Pseudomonadaceae
Description: bacterial SSU rRNA
Rfam family: Bacterial small subunit ribosomal RNA
Source: RNAcentral